GGGGAAGGGACAUGGUGCAUGGUGCAUGGAGCUCAAAACCUAGCAGGGGAAAUGACCAACUACACAAAUAAUAUUGAUACAUGGCAAAAAUCUGGCCAAAUUGUGCUCUUCAGAUAAGAAGAACAUUUCAUUUCCUAAUCUUCCUGAAUUUCCCCACCAGAGAGCUGCACCAUAAACAGAUCUUUAGCUGUGGAAAGAUUUGUUACGUGUAGCAGGAGAUGGAAGACCUGAAGUCAAAGGGAAGGUUGUUUCUCUUUGCACCAGAGUUUCUCCACAUCCUGACUGGGAGUACAGACAGGCAACAGGAGGUGAAAGUUGCCUUGUGCUGGUAGAUGGAAGUUGGUCCACUGGCCUCUAGCAAUGUUCUAUCAAGGGCCAUCUACAGCAGGAGAUGGAAAGCCCAUACCAUACACUAUAUAGAAUACUGUAUACUAAAUCAGAAUUAUCAAAACAUGUUGCCCACAACA
Molecule: non-coding RNA, 467 nt
Organism: Phascolarctos cinereus (koala)
Lineage: Eukaryota; Metazoa; Chordata; Mammalia; Diprotodontia; Phascolarctidae
Source: RefSeq, a predicted model, not a curated record